RNAcentral lists this ribosomal RNA (1001 nucleotides) under Mycoplasmopsis bovis. RNAcentral describes it as "bacterial SSU rRNA". It matches the Rfam family "Bacterial small subunit ribosomal RNA", at positions 333 to 1339 of the family's 1533-position model. Lineage: Bacteria; Bacillati; Mycoplasmatota; Mycoplasmoidales; Metamycoplasmataceae. The record is from RNAcentral.
AGACUCCUACGGGAGGCAGCAGUAGGGAAUAUUCCACAAUGGACGAAAGUCUGAUGGAGCGACACAGCGUGCAGGAUGAAGGCCCUAUGGGUUGUAAACUGCUGUGGUUAGGGAAGAAAAAGUAGCAUAGGAAAUGAUGCUACCUUGACGGUACCUGAUUAGAAAGCAACGGCUAACUAUGUGCCAGCAGCCGCGGUAAUACAUAGGUUGCAAGCGUUAUCCGAAAUUAUUGGGCGUAAAGCGUCUGUAGGUUGUUUGUUAAGUCUGGCGUUAAAUUUUGGGGCUCAACCCCAAAACGCGUUGGAUACUGGCAGACUAGAGUUAUGUAGAGGUUAGCGGAAUUCCUUGUGAAGCGGUGAAAUGCGUAGAUAUAAGGAAGAACAUCAAUAUGGCGAAGGCAGCUAACUGGGCAUACACUGACACUGAGAGACGAAAGCGUGGGGAGCAAACAGGAUUAGAUACCCUGGUAGUCCACGCCCUAAACGAUGAUCAUUAGUUGAUGGGGAACUCAUCGACGCAGCUAACGCAUUAAAUGAUCCGCCUGAGUAGUACGUUCGCAAGAAUAAAACUUAAAGGAAUUGACGGGGAUCCGCACAAGCGGUGGAGCAUGUGGUUUAAUUUGAUGUUACGCGUAGAACCUUACCCACUCUUGACAUCUUCUGCAAAGCUAUAGAGACAUAGUGGAGGUUAACAGAAUGACAGAUGGUGCAUGGUUGUCGUCAGCUCGUGUCGUGAGAUGUUCGGUUAAGUCCUGCAACGAGCGCAACCCUUAUCCUUAGUUACUACCAUUUAGUUGAGCACUCUAAGGAGACUGCCCGAGUAAUCGGGAGGAAGGUGGGGACGACGUCAAAUCAUCAUGCCUCUUACGAGUGGGGCUACACACGUGCUACAAUGGACGGUACAAAGAGAAGCGAAGUGGUGACAUGGAGCAAACCUCAAAAAACCGUUCUCAGUUCGGAUUGAAGUCUGCAACUCGACUUCAUGAAGUCGGAAUCGCUAGU